This 468-nucleotide ribosomal RNA is filed under the name uncultured bacterium. Its description in RNAcentral is "partial 16S ribosomal RNA". It matches the Rfam family "Bacterial small subunit ribosomal RNA", at positions 28 to 507 of the family's 1533-position model. The record is from RNAcentral.
GACGAACGCUGGCGGCGUGCUUAACACAUGCAAGUCGAACGGAAAGGCCCUGCUUUUGUGGGGUGCUCGAGUGGCGAACGCGUGAGUAACACGUGAGUAACCUGCCCUUGACUUUGGUAUAACUUCAGGAAACUGGGGCUAAUACCGGAUAGGAUCUCCUGCUGCAUGGUGGGGGUUGGAAAGUUUCGGCGGUUGGGGAUGGACUCGCGGCUUAUCAGCUUGUUGGUGGGGUAGUGGCUUACCAAGGCUUUGACGGGUAGCCGGCCUGAGAGGGUGACCGGCCACAUUGGGACUGAGAUACGGCCCAGACUCCUACGGGAGGCAGCAGUGGGGAAUAUUGCACAAUGGGCGGAAGCCUGAUGCAGCAACGCCGCGUGCGGGAUGACGGCCUUCGGGUUGUAAACCGCUUUCGCCUGUGACGAAGCGUGAGUGACGGUAAUGGGUAAAGAAGCACCGGCUAACUACGUG